This 262-nucleotide ribosomal RNA is filed under the name uncultured archaeon. RNAcentral's name for it is "partial 16S ribosomal RNA". It matches the Rfam family "Archaeal small subunit ribosomal RNA", at positions 748 to 1008 of the family's 1478-position model. The record is from RNAcentral.
AGGGUGUAAACGCUGCAGACUUGGUGUUGGAAAUCCUUCGAGGGUAUUCAGUGCCGGAGAGAAGUUGUUAAGUCUGCUACUUGGGGAGUACGUCCGCAAGGAUGAAACUUAAAGGAAUUGGCGGGGGGAGCACCGCAACGGGAGGAGCGUGCGGUUUAAUUGGAUUCAACACCGGAAAACUCACCAGGGGAGACUGUUACAUGAAACCCAGACUAAUGAUCUUGGUUGAUUUUCAGAGAGGAGGUGCAUGGCGUCAGUGACU